GGACUGUGCAUGUUUUUGCCCUAGAGGACCGUGCUACCUGGUGACAAGGAUCACAAUAUGGUGGAGAAUGCGGGCAAAGUAGCACAGUGAGGGUCUGUGGGUGUGCCAGUCAUCUGGUAGUCUGCUUGAGGACUUUUAUUUUGGCAGACCUGCUAAUCAAAUAAGUAGCACUGCACCUUUAAGACUGUUACCCGCUUGGUGCUAUAAUGGAGGACCUGCUGAGAGCUGUGGUACAGGCAACGGCUAAACAACAAGGCACAAACAGUUUCCUGGCUGCACAGGUUAAGAACCUGAGGGAUGCUCAGCAGGAGCAUAGAGCUGCCCUUACUGAGGUUUUGCAGAUUGCCCCCUGCAGGGAGCGUGGGGACAAGGGACC
Non-coding RNA from Pelobates cultripes (western spadefoot toad), 376 nucleotides. The record is from the annotation of a GenBank genome assembly. NCBI's taxonomy places the organism in Eukaryota, Metazoa, Chordata, Amphibia, Anura, Pelobatidae.